UUGCACGAUUUACUGCCCUUGUCUUUCUUGCUGACUGAAGGUACCUCCUCCAGGCCACAUCCUGGUGCCCCGGAGGAGCGGCUGGCCCUUCGCCCCAGCGCCAGGGUGAGCUUGAUUGUUACCAAGGGACGAUCACAGAAAGAAGGCAACGUUUCGGUGGAUAUUGUCGUGUCUGUGCUGAGCACCUGGAACUGCCAGCCUCUAGCCGGAAGAGGAAACCAUCACCGACCACAAGGGAGAAACUGAGGACCCAGCCCUUGUCUUUGUUCAGCUGCUGAAUCAACACACUCAGAGACACACCCGAUGUGCACAAUAAACCUCUUAUUGUAGAAGCCCGUGGAACCUGGAUUUUCUACACCGGAAAGCAGGGUAAACUGGAGAUCUGGCGAUGCCCGGAUUUGCCACAGGGCAGACACUCAGGAAGCCUUGCCCACUGUUGACUGAAGGAGCAAAUAAAUGGGCGCAGUGGUUCUGCAGCAGGAAGCUUCCUGAAGGUCAAGACGUGGGACCCUUCGCUAACAUCAUAAAAGGCAAGAUUCCUGCUGGCUGAGCGCAGCUCUCCGUUUCUCAAACCCACAGUCCAGAAGCCAAGUUCUGAAGACAGUAGAAUCGGCUCGUUGAGUGACAGAUUCUUUGCAAACGCCGGCGUCCCAUUCUCUGCUUGU
Molecule: non-coding RNA, 665 nt
Organism: Microcebus murinus (gray mouse lemur)
Lineage: Eukaryota; Metazoa; Chordata; Mammalia; Primates; Cheirogaleidae
Source: RefSeq, a predicted model, not a curated record